Molecule: ribosomal RNA, 468 nt
Filed under: uncultured bacterium
Lineage: Bacteria
Description: partial 16S ribosomal RNA
Rfam family: Bacterial small subunit ribosomal RNA
Source: RNAcentral
GACGAGCGCUGGCGGCGUGCUUAACACAUGCAAGUCGAACGGAAAGGCCCUGCUUUUGUGGGGUGCUCGAGUGGCGAACGGGUGAGUAACACGUGAGUAACCUACCCUUGACUUUGGGAUAACUUCAGGAAACUGGGGCUAAUACCGGAUAGGAGCUCCUGCUGCAUGGUGGGGGUUGGAAAGUUUCGGCGGUUGGGGAUGGACUCGCGGCUUAUCAGCUUGUUGGUGGGGUAGUGGCUUACCAAGGCUUUGACGGGUAGCCGGCCUGAGAGGGUGACCGGCCACAUUGGGACUGAGAUACGGCCCAGACUCCUACGGGAGGCAGCAGUGGGGAAUAUUGCACAAUGGGCGGAAGCCUGAUGCAGCAACGCCGCGUGCGGGAUGACGGCCUUCGGGUUGUAAACCGCUUUCGCCUGUGACGAAGCGUGAGUGACGGUAAUGGGUAAAGAAGCACCGGCUAACUACGUG